GACGGAGGGUGCAAGCGUUGUUCGGAAUCAUUGGGCGUAAAGGGCGCGCAGGCGGCCUUCCAAGUCCGAUGUGAAAGUCCGGGGCUCAACCCCGGAAGCGCAUCGGAAACUGGUUGGCUUGAGUCCGAGAGGGGACCGUGGAAUUCCUGGUGUAGGGGUGAAAUCCGUAGCGAUCAGGAGGAACACCGGAGGUGAAAACGACGGUCUGGAUCGGGACUGACGCUGAGGCGCGAAAGCGCGGGUAGCGAACAGG
Molecule: unclassified non-coding RNA, 253 nt
Filed under: uncultured Bradymonadales bacterium
Lineage: Bacteria; Deltaproteobacteria; Bradymonadales
Description: contains 16S-23S intergenic spacer region
Rfam family: Bacterial small subunit ribosomal RNA
Source: RNAcentral